CGGAGGGUGCAAGCGUUAUCCGGAUUCACUGGGUUUAAAGGGUGCGUAGGUGGGUUGGUAAGUCAGUGGUGAAAUCUCCAGGCUUAACUUGGAAACUGCCAUUGAUACUAUCGAUCUUGAAUACCGUGGAGGUUAGCGGAAUAUGUCAUGUAGCGGUGAAAUGCUUAGAUAUGACAUAGAACACCAAUUGCGAAGGCAGCUGGCUUCACGAAUAUUGACACUGAUGCACGAAAGCGUGGGGAUCAAACAGGAUUAGAUACCCUGGUAGUCCACGCCCUAAACGAUGGAUACUCGACAUACGCGAUAUACAGUGUGUGUCUGAGCGAAAGCAUUAAGUAUCCCACCUGGGAAGUACGAUCGCAAGAUUG
RNAcentral lists this ribosomal RNA (368 nucleotides) under uncultured organism. RNAcentral's name for it is "bacterial SSU rRNA". It matches the Rfam family "Bacterial small subunit ribosomal RNA", at positions 526 to 896 of the family's 1533-position model. The record is from RNAcentral.